RNAcentral lists this ribosomal RNA (248 nucleotides) under uncultured Gardnerella sp. Its description in RNAcentral is "partial 16S ribosomal RNA". It matches the Rfam family "Bacterial small subunit ribosomal RNA", at positions 108 to 354 of the family's 1533-position model. The record is from RNAcentral. Lineage: Bacteria; Bacillati; Actinomycetota; Actinomycetes; Bifidobacteriales; Bifidobacteriaceae.
GAGUAAUGCGUGACCAACCUCGCCCCAUGCUCCAGAAUAGCUCUUGGAAACGGGUGGUAAUGCUGGAUGCUCCAACUUGACGCAUGUCUUGUUGGGAAAGUGUUUAGUGGCAUGGGAUGGGGUCGCGUCCUAUCAGCUUGUAGGCGGGGUAAUGGCCCACCUAGGCUUCGACGGGUAGCCGGCCUGAGAGGGCGGACGGCCACAUUGGGACUGAGAUACGGCCCAGACUCCUACGGGAGGCAGCAGGC